Cebus imitator (Panamanian white-faced capuchin) is the source of this 646-nucleotide long non-coding RNA. RefSeq lists it as uncharacterized. The record is from RefSeq and is a predicted model, not a curated record. The transcript has 3 exons. NCBI's taxonomy places the organism in Eukaryota, Metazoa, Chordata, Mammalia, Primates, Cebidae.
UGUGUGCAGCCGUGUUUGCCGGUGUGUGUCUGUGUCUGCAGAUGUGUGUAAGACUCACACUUGAGCUGACCCACAAGCCGCUCUUUGGAGCGGAGGUCAAGAGCCAAUGACCUCACCCGCAAUUGUAGGUUUCCCAAUCCUAUGAAAUGAGGAAGCCGAGGUGGGAGGCGGGGAAGCCUUUAGGACGGAGAGCAGCGUGACAGGAGGUGCCCAGGCUGGAGUCCCCCCGGGAAGACAAGCACAGCAAGGAGGGGAAGCAGGUGCCGUGGGUUCACAGCAGGUGCCCGGCGAAGACAGAACGCGGAGUGGAGAGGUGGAGAUGCUCGCCUAGAACGCGUAGAGACGGGGUUUCGCCAUGUUGGCCAGGAUGGUCUUGAUCUCCUGACCUCGUGAUCCACCCGCCUUGGCUUCCCAAAGAGCUGGGGUUACAGACGUGAGCCACCGCGCCCGGCUCAGAAUGUGGGUGUCUGGGGUGCCUCAGGGGAGCCUGCCCAGCGCUGAGAAACACUUGCAAGACCCAGAGGCAGGUACUGGGAAGCUGAGUGCCGCCGUCCAGACGAGGAAGCCGGGCACAUGUCCACGUCAGGCGGAUCGCAAGAGGCAGGUGUGGUCUGUCUGUUUUUAGUUCCCUUUUGCAGCCAGUGAG